This 77-nucleotide transfer RNA is filed under the name bacterium. RNAcentral's name for it is "tRNA-Arg". It matches the Rfam family "tRNA". Rfam says of the family: Transfer RNA (tRNA) molecules are approximately 80 nucleotides in length. Their secondary structure includes four short double-helical elements and three loops (D, anti-codon, and T loops). The record is from RNAcentral. RNAcentral also lists the same sequence under 1 other name.
GCACCCAUAGCACAACUGGAUAAUGCGCCGCCCUCCGAAGGCGGAGAUUACAGGUUCGAGUCCUGUUGGGUGCGCCA